UGUGACAACCAGGAGGUUGGCUUAGAAGCAGCCAUCCUUGAAAGAGUGCGUAAUAGCUCACUGGUCAAGUGAUUGAGCGCCGACAAUGUAGCGGGGCUGAAGUACACCGCCGAAACCGCGGCAGUAAUUGUUUUUACUGGGUAGGGGAGCGUCCUGCGCGAGGUGAAGCCAUGGCGUGAGCUUGUGGUGGAUUGUGUGGGAGUGAGAAUGCAGGCAUGAGUAACGUUUGGGAGGUGAGAAUCCUUCCCGCCGUAUGACUAAGGGUUCCAGGGGUAGGUUCGUCCUCUCUGGGUUAGUCGGGUCCUAAGGCGAGGCCGACAGGCGUAGUCGAUGGGUGACCAGUUCUUAUUCUGGUACCGGUUUUAUUGCGUCCAGUGUCUUCUGCGUUGAUGCUAACCAUCCUGCCUAUGCCAUAUAAGCAUGCACGGCUUUUGUUGUGUUUGUUGUUGGUGUGGGUGGCGUGGGGUCCUAAGUGUGGGAGGCAAGCGUGUUAACAGGUGUGACGCAGGGAGGUAGCUUCGCGUGCCUAAUGGCUUGGCGCGUUUAAGGGUGUGGCCCGUCCUCUAGGUAAAUCCGGGGGACAUGUAAGGGUGAGGCCUGAUGGUGACCGUUUUUAUAGCGGGAAGUAGGGUGAUCCUGUACUGCCGAGAAAAGCAUCGACGUGAGUGGUAAGACCGCCCGUACCCGAAACCGACACUGG
Molecule: ribosomal RNA, 700 nt
Filed under: Actinotignum timonense
Lineage: Bacteria; Bacillati; Actinomycetota; Actinomycetes; Actinomycetales; Actinomycetaceae
Description: bacterial LSU rRNA
Rfam family: Bacterial large subunit ribosomal RNA
Source: RNAcentral